Molecule: ribosomal RNA, 246 nt
Filed under: uncultured Actinomycetes bacterium
Lineage: Bacteria; Bacillati; Actinomycetota; Actinomycetes
Description: uncultured actinobacterium partial 16S ribosomal RNA
Rfam family: Bacterial small subunit ribosomal RNA
Source: RNAcentral
GACGAACGCUGGCGGCGUGCUUAACACAUGCAAGUCGAGCGGUAAGGCCCUUUCGGGGGUACACGAGCGGCGAACGGGUGAGUAACACGUGGGUGACCUGCCUUUAGCUCUGGGAUAAGCCUGGGAAACUGGGUCUAAUACCGGAUAUGACUCCAUGACGCAUGUUGUGGGGUGGAAAGCCUUGUGCGGCUGGGGAUGGCCGCGGCCUAUCAGCUUGUUGGUGGGGUGGAUGGCCUACCAAGGCGA